Betta splendens (Siamese fighting fish) is the source of this 490-nucleotide long non-coding RNA. RefSeq lists it as uncharacterized. Lineage: Eukaryota; Metazoa; Chordata; Actinopteri; Anabantiformes; Osphronemidae. The record is from RefSeq and is a predicted model, not a curated record. The transcript is spliced from 3 exons.
AGUAUCCACUUUACCUUUAUCAUGCAGCGCUCCGGCCCAUCAGGUUUUCUAUGUGCUUGGCUGCACUUGGUUAUUUUUUUCCGUCCCUGCACAUUUUCUUGGUGCUCGACGCUCACCUCCAGACUCGGGCUUAGAGUGUUUCCCCGGCAGUCUUUCUGAUAGCGGCGCGCUCCGUGAUUGCUUCCCAGGAUCAGAGCGGCAUGCAGCACGAGCAGGCGGCUCAACACACCACACAUGCUGUGAGAUCAAAGGUCACUCUUGGAAGCCUGGGAUUAUAGGGGAGUACAUGAGUGAGGUCACGAUCGGAGCAGAGAAGAUGAGGAGGAGGUCAUGUCACAGCAACACGGCUUACUGCCUCAGCAGCAGCAGGAGCAGCAGCAGCACCCAGAGCUGGAGGAGUCCCACUGGGAGAGCCUCUCUGUGGUUAUCAUACCCCAUCUAGUGGCUGCAGCAGGUUAAAGGAGAGGAGGCAGCGUGUCACAGGCCGACA